RNAcentral lists this unclassified non-coding RNA (290 nucleotides) under uncultured fungus. RNAcentral's name for it is "partial contains small subunit ribosomal RNA, internal transcribed spacer 1, and 5.8S ribosomal RNA". The stretch from base 1 to 73 matches the Rfam family "Eukaryotic small subunit ribosomal RNA", at positions 1759 to 1831 of the family's 1831-position model. Lineage: Eukaryota; Fungi. The record is from RNAcentral.
UCAAACUUGGUCAUUUAGAGGAAGUAAAAGUCGUAACAAGGUUUCCGUAGGUGAACCUGCGGAAGGAUCAUUACCAAUUGUCCACAACUCUAUUAUGGAUAAUUCAAUCCAUAUCCACCCUGUGUGAAUCAUUGAAGUGUUUGUUGGCAGGGUUUAUUGAGCUUGCUCGCCUUGCCAAUUUUAUUCGUAAAACAUGUCUAAAUACCAGUGGUCUGAAUCUUAUAUUUAUAUAAAUAAAUACAACUUUCAACAACGGAUCUCUUGGCUCUCGCAUCGAUGAAGAACGCAGC